Molecule: ribosomal RNA, 252 nt
Filed under: uncultured bacterium
Lineage: Bacteria
Description: partial 16S ribosomal RNA
Rfam family: Bacterial small subunit ribosomal RNA
Source: RNAcentral
UACGAAGGGGGCUAGCGUUGUUCGGAUUUACUGGGCGUAAAGCGCACGUAGGCGGUUUGUUAAGUGAGAGGUGAAAUCCCAGAGCUCAACUCUGGAACUGCCUUUCAUACUGGCAAGCUAGAGUCCGGAAGAGGUAAGUGGAACUCCUAGUGUAGAGGUGGAAUUCGUAGAUAUUAGGAAGAACACCAGUGGCGAAGGCGGCUUACUGGUCCGGAACUGACGCUGAGGUGCGAAAGCGUGGGGAGCAAACAG